RNAcentral lists this ribosomal RNA (352 nucleotides) under uncultured bacterium. RNAcentral describes it as "partial 16S ribosomal RNA". It matches the Rfam family "Bacterial small subunit ribosomal RNA", at positions 338 to 682 of the family's 1533-position model. The record is from RNAcentral.
CCUACGGGCGGCAGCAGUGGGGAAUAUUGCGCAAUGGGCGAAAGCCUGACGCAGCGACGCCGCGUGAGGGAUGAAGGUCUUCGGAUCGUAAACCUCUGUCAGCAGGGAAGAACGGUCACGGGGCUAAGCAGCAGUGAAUGGACGGUACCGGCAAAGGAAGCACCGGCUAACGCCGUGCCAGCAGACGCGGUAAUACGGAGGGUGCGAGCGUUAAUCGGAAUUACGGGGCGGAAAGCGCUCGUAGGCGGUAUGUCAAGUCAAGGGUGAAAUCCCCGCGCUCACCGUGGGAACUGCCUUUGAACCUGGCAAACUGGAGUGUGUGAGAGGUUAGUGGAAUUCCAGGUGUAGGCGU